RNAcentral lists this unclassified non-coding RNA (420 nucleotides) under Hevea brasiliensis (rubber tree). The record is from RNAcentral. Lineage: Eukaryota; Viridiplantae; Streptophyta; Magnoliopsida; Malpighiales; Euphorbiaceae.
CUCUCUCUCUCCAUAAAAGGACCUUUGCUAUAUAUCCACACACAAUCCAUUACCCAUCUCCACAUUCUCACUUUGCCACCUUCCAUUAUUUCUUUACACAGUCUUUAUCUCUUUCUCCAACAUAACCAACCAAAAGCCAAGCUCCAUCACUUACCCACUUCACAUAUCGAUCCCAAAAUGCCAUCAGAUACUUCCACCGAAACUCGAAAAUUAACCAAACCCCACACGACUGCAGCUCCACCACCAGAGCAAGAGCACCUCCCUUGCCCUCGCUGUGAUUCCACCAACACCAAAUUCUGUUAUUACAAUAACUAUAACUUCUCCCAGCCCCGCCACUUCUGUAAGUCUUGCCGCCGUUAAUUGGACCCAUGGUGGCACCCUACGUGACAUCCCUGUUGGUGGCGGCACCCGCAAGAAUGC